GGGAAACUCACCAGGUCCAGACAUAAUAAGGAUUGACAGAUUGAUAGCUCUUUCUUGAUUUUAUGGGUGGUGGUGCAUGGCCGUUCUUAGUUCGUGGAGUGAUUUGUCUGCUUAAUUGCGUUAACGAACGAGACCUUCACCUGCUAAAUAGGAGCGCAUAUCUUCGGAUAAGCGCCUUUCUUCUUAGAGGGACUUUCGGCGUUCUCAGUCGGAGUAAGUUGGAGGCUAAAA
Molecule: ribosomal RNA, 231 nt
Filed under: uncultured eukaryote
Lineage: Eukaryota
Description: partial 18S ribosomal RNA
Rfam family: Eukaryotic small subunit ribosomal RNA
Source: RNAcentral